RNAcentral lists this ribosomal RNA (520 nucleotides) under uncultured bacterium. RNAcentral describes it as "partial 16S ribosomal RNA". It matches the Rfam family "Bacterial small subunit ribosomal RNA", at positions 28 to 507 of the family's 1533-position model. The record is from RNAcentral.
GACGAACGCUGGCGGCGUGCCUAAUACAUGCAAGUCGAACGCACUCUCGUUUAGAUUGCCGGAGUUUGCUCCUGAUUGAUAAACAUUUGAGUGAGUGGCGGACGGGUGAGUAACGCGUGGGUAACCUGCCCUAAAGUGGGGGAUAACAUUUGGAAACAGAUGCUAAUACCGCAUAAAACCUAACACCGCAUGGUGUAGGGUUGAAAGAUGGUUUCGGCUAUCACUUUAGGAUGGACCCGCGGUGCAUUAGUUAGUUGGUGAGGUAAAGGCUCACCAAGACCGUGAUGCAUAGCCGACCUGAGAGGGUAAUCGGCCACACUGGGACUGAGACACGGCCCAGACUCCUACGGGAGGCAGCAGUAGGGAAUCUUCCACAAUGGACGAAAGUCUGAUGGAGCAACGCCGCGUGAGUGAAGAAGGUUUUCGGAUCGUAAAACUCUGUUGUUGGAGAAGAAUGUAUCUGAUAGUAACUGAUCAGGUAGUGACGGUAUCCAACCAGAAAGCCACGGCUAACUACGUG